GCGGACGGGUAAGUAAUGUCUGGGAAAACUGCCUUAUGAGGGGGAUACUACUGAAACGGUAGCUAAUACGCAUACGUCGCAAGACCAAAGAGGGGGACUUCGGGCCUCUUGCCAUCAGAUUCCAGAUGGAUAGCUAUAGUGGGGUAACGGCUCACCUAGCGACGAUCCCUACUGUCUGAGAGGAUACCAGCCACACUGGAACUGAACACGGUCCAACUCCUACGGGAGGCAGAGUGGGGAAUAUUGCACAAUGGGCGCAAGCCUGAUGCAGCCAUGCCGCGUGUAUGAAGAAGGCCCUCGGGUUGUAAAGUACUUUCAGCGGGGAGGAAGGUGUUGUGGUUAAUAACCACAGCAAUUGACGUUACCCGCAGAAGAAGCACCGGCUAACUCCGUGCCAGCAGCCGCGGGUAAUACGGAGGGUAGCAAGCGUUAAUCGGGAAUUACUGGGCGUAAAGGCGCACGCAGGCGGUCUGUCAAGUCGGAUGUAGAAAUCCCCGGGGCUCAAACCUGGGAACUUGCAUUCCGAAACUUGGCAGGCUAGAAGUCUUGUUAGAGGAGGGGGUAGAAUUCCAGGGUGUAGCGGGUGAAAAUGCGGUAGGA
Molecule: ribosomal RNA, 600 nt
Filed under: uncultured bacterium
Lineage: Bacteria
Description: bacterial SSU rRNA
Rfam family: Bacterial small subunit ribosomal RNA
Source: RNAcentral